GACGAACGCUGGCGGCGUGCUUAGCACAUGCAAGUCGAACGGAAAGGCCCUGCUUUUGUGGGGUGCUCGAGUGGCGAACGGGUGAGUAACACGUGAGUAACCUGCCCUUGACUUUGGGAUAACUUCAGGAAACUGGGGCUAAUACCGGAUAGGAGCUCCUGCUGCAUGGUGGGGGUUGGAAAGUUUCGGCGGUUGGGGAUGGACUCGCGGCUUAUCAGCUUGUUGGUGGGGUAGUGGCUUACCAAGGCUUUGACGGGUAGCCGGCCUGAGAGGGUGACCGGCCAAAUGGGGACGGGGAUACGGCCAAGACUCCUACGGAGGCAGCAGUGGGGAAUAUUGCACAAUGGGCGGAAGCCUGAUGCAGCAACGCCGCGUGCGGGAUGACGGCCUUCGGGUUGUAAACCGCUUUCGCCUGUGACGAAGCGUGAGUGACGGUAAUGGGUAAAGAAGCACCGGCUAACUACGUG
RNAcentral lists this ribosomal RNA (467 nucleotides) under uncultured bacterium. RNAcentral describes it as "partial 16S ribosomal RNA". It matches the Rfam family "Bacterial small subunit ribosomal RNA", at positions 28 to 507 of the family's 1533-position model. The record is from RNAcentral.